UUCCGGGAACUAUCUUGAAGUCUGCAUUUCAUUGGACGGCUCUGGACUGGUGACCUGGAGACCUGGAGACCUGGAGACCGGUGUCCUCUGUGAAGUGGGUCGUCCCGCAAAGUGUGGUUCCUUCCUUCGGUGGAUUGUCUGAGUCCGCAGGCAGUCUCUGAGCAACAGUCGGCUGUGAUUGGGCUCCCGCACGAUCUUAACUCCACCUCCGUCUUUGAUCUCAGUGCCAUCCUUAAACCAACUGACCACCAAAGAUUCCUGAGGAGUAAAGGGCAUCUUGAAAGCAGCAUUCUGCCCCACUCUUAUUGUUACAGGUUUGGCGAACUUGUGGAGGUCGUCCGGGUCAAAUUCAGUGGUAAAAAUCUGACAUACCACCUCCUACAUCUGCGUGUGGUUGAUCAACGCCAGUGGCUUCCUCAGCUGAGUGGAUAACAGCAAUAACAAGAGUUGCUGACUCGGUGGGUUUGGAAAUCCCCAUGUCAUUCUUGGCAUAGACACGGAACUGGUACUGCCUUCCCGGUAUGAUGUUGAUGGCAGUAAACUUGUUGUUGAAGAGAUGGUCUGCCACAGUUUGCCAAGUACGCUUCGUGGAAUCACGCUUGGUGAUCACGUAGUGCAGCCUGUCAUCCUUCUUCUCAUCUGGAGAAGGAGUCCAGGAGACUGUCACUGUUCCUGACACAUUCUCAUCCAGCUCCACGGGUCCUGGAGGCUUGGGGUCAUCUAGAAAAUGGCCACGGAGCCCCUUUUGUUUCGCUGCCAAACGACCUCUUUCAACUGGAUCUACACAUUUCUACUGUCAUUGUUGUAGCCUCGCGGCUUUUUGCCCAACACUGUCUCCUCUGGACACGAGUUCCAGGCCCCUUUUGGAUCCCUCAUGACCCCGUAGCCUCCCAGUGCUCCCACUGGAUGUGGUCCAGGUCCACGGUUCAUGAGGUCAGGAACAUUGAUUUGACAUGGGAAUAUGAGUGUGAGCUUGUGUUUAUGUAAACACCUCAUGGGUUUCUAAUGCACUGUGGCACGCAGCCAUCACAAAUACGUGAGUCACAGGUUUGUGUGCUGCCUGCAGAGUUAUGAGAGAAUGCACUCGGAAAACUAAGUCCACACUUGGUGAGAGUGUUAGUGUUCUCACACUCACACAUUUCUGCAUGCCAAUCCCUUUUUUAGUUACUAUUGCAGCAGCUGAGAUCCAGUAAUUUCCCUUCUUAAAUGGCUGCUGUCAUAAAGCAAAGGCAGAGUUCAAUACUUUGAUAGGAAGAUUAGCAUGUGUGCUCUAUCAUGUCGGAUGGAAGUUAAAAUAUAAUCUUUGCUAAGCUGCAGUUUCUGUAGUGGAGGAUUUACAGAAGAGAUGUAACAGCUCAAUCUUAGCACUUUUUAAUAUACAGUUGUUUCUGCAAAACAUAAUUAGGGCUAGGAGGUUUAAUUAUAAUAAGAGUAGAUUAAACAGACUGUAAGGUAGAUUUUUCUCCCUGUAAUUUGAAAAUUGCUGUAUAAUUCAAUUGAUAUAAAACAAUAACAAUCAUUAAAAUGAAAGAAGCAAAAAAAAGCUCAUUCUUUGGUUGAACUGCUCAUGACAAGUAAACAAAUAAACCUGUGACAGCGGGUCCCGUUUCCUUGAUUUCAAGGGGCCACAAGCCAUUUGGUGUAAUCAAUUUUUUUUUUGAUGAAUAUAUGUUUUGUCUAAAAUCAUCUGCAAAGUAAAGAGCCACUAUAGACAUCAGACAAACAUGAUGGAGUGAGAAGUGCAAUAUUUCUCUCUGAAAUGUAGACCAGUAGCGGUUAUUUCAAGGUAAUAGAGUUAGUUGCUUACUUGCGUACGUACUUGCAAGGUACUGGAGUAAAAGUUUUCAAGCUUUGCUACUGUGCAGUGCUGUUUUUCUUACAAUCGCUGUCUCAUAACAAA
This is a long non-coding RNA of Scophthalmus maximus (turbot), 1900 nucleotides long. RefSeq lists it as uncharacterized. The transcript is spliced from 5 exons. Lineage: Eukaryota; Metazoa; Chordata; Actinopteri; Pleuronectiformes; Scophthalmidae. The record is from RefSeq and is a predicted model, not a curated record.